RNAcentral lists this transfer RNA (62 nucleotides) under Trichuris arvicolae. RNAcentral describes it as "tRNA-Trp". Lineage: Eukaryota; Metazoa; Nematoda; Enoplea; Trichinellida; Trichuridae. The record is from RNAcentral.
AUAACUUUAAGUUAAAAAAACUAUAAACCUUCAAAGUUUAAAAUGAUCAAAGUCAAGUUAUC